RNAcentral lists this ribosomal RNA (292 nucleotides) under uncultured bacterium. RNAcentral describes it as "partial 16S ribosomal RNA". It matches the Rfam family "Bacterial small subunit ribosomal RNA", at positions 505 to 796 of the family's 1533-position model. The record is from RNAcentral.
GUGUCAGCAGCCGCGGUAAGACGAACCGAGCGAACGUUGUUCGGAAUCACUGGGCUUAAAGGGCGCGUAGGCGGGCAUCAUAGUCUGUGGUGAAAUCCGGCAGCUUAACUGUCGAAUUGCCAUGGAUACUGGGUGUCUCGAGGGAGGCAGGGGUGCGCGGAACUGAUGGUGGAGCGGUGAAAUGCGUUGAUAUCAUCAGGAACUCCGGUGGCGAAGGCGGCGCACUGGUCCUUUUCUGACGCUGAGGCGCGAAAGCCAGGGGAGCAAACGGGAUUAGAUACCCCAGUAGUCC